Molecule: transfer RNA, 77 nt
Filed under: Chloroflexota bacterium
Lineage: Bacteria; Bacillati; Chloroflexota
Also listed under: 1 other name
Description: tRNA-Asp
Rfam family: tRNA
About the family: Transfer RNA (tRNA) molecules are approximately 80 nucleotides in length. Their secondary structure includes four short double-helical elements and three loops (D, anti-codon, and T loops). Further hydrogen bonds mediate the characteristic L-shaped molecular structure. tRNAs have two regions of fundamental functional importance: the anti-codon, which is responsible for specific mRNA codon recognition, and the 3' end, to which the tRNAs corresponding amino acid is attached (by aminoacyl-tRNA synthetases). tRNAs cope with the degeneracy of the genetic code in two manners: having more than one tRNA (with a specific anti-codon) for a particular amino acid; and 'wobble' base-pairing, i.e. permitting non-standard base-pairing at the 3rd anti-codon position.
Source: RNAcentral
GGUCUCGUGGGCAAGUCUGGAAUCCCACAGGUUUGUCACGCCAGAGAUCGUCGGUUCAAAUCCGGUCGAGACCGCCA